AUGGCGGAACGAAAGGGGUGCCAUAGCGACGAAUCCACAAAUGAAGCCACGACAACAUAUCAGUUCCGGGUCUUCGGACUUGCCGGACUCGUCAACUCGAAAAGGUACUUGGCGUUCUUGGCGAUUCCAAAGACGGAGGUACUUGUCGAAUCCACGAAGACGUUUCUUAGCAUCCCUGGUUGUCGGGUCUUGGCAGCGACUAGAGCGGCAGCAAGGCCGACGGUUCAGCAGGGGGGGUUGGAGCUUGUGAUGCCCGAAAAGGGGGGCGCGGAUCAGCAGCAUGGAGGGAGCAAUGGCAGGGCGAGGUGGAGGUGCACGGGAUGCCCGUCGUCAUCUCCUCGAACGAGGGCAGAGGCAGGAGGUCAACGCAAGCGGAGGCUCGCUGUGAAGCAGGUGCAAUGUGCCGCUGAACUUGACGAAUUCCGGCGAGGCCGACAGGGGUGCAGGGUCGGUCGGGUCUGGAUGGAGGCGGCGCGGACAUGCUCGAGGCUGACGGCUGGCGAGAUGGUGAAGGUGCUGCAGCAGCGGAGGACCUACGAGGAGGAAGAAGGCGGAGGACAUGGGGUCGCGAAGGCGGGGGCGGGCCAGCCUGGUACUGCGGGGCUGGUGUCCAUGGGAGCUCCUGCUCCUGCCGAAGACGACGACGACAGACCUGUGAGACGGGGCGGCAGUAAGAGAAAACGCGACGAGAGGAAGAGGGAGGCCAUGGAUCGGGCAUGA
Molecule: ribosomal RNA, 720 nt
Filed under: Triticum aestivum (bread wheat)
Lineage: Eukaryota; Viridiplantae; Streptophyta; Magnoliopsida; Poales; Poaceae
Description: partial small subunit ribosomal RNA
Source: RNAcentral